Molecule: small nucleolar RNA, 134 nt
Filed under: Jaculus jaculus (lesser Egyptian jerboa)
Lineage: Eukaryota; Metazoa; Chordata; Mammalia; Rodentia; Dipodidae
Source: RNAcentral
GACCUCGUGAGAGAGGAGAGUGGCCUAUUUUCUGGCAGCUUCAGAAGGAGGAGGGAAAGCAAGCCCAGAAGAGGUGCUCACUCCAUUCCCAGCUGGCUUAGCUGCUGAUGCUUAGAAGACACUCUGUAACAUCA